Molecule: ribosomal RNA, 253 nt
Filed under: uncultured bacterium
Lineage: Bacteria
Description: partial 16S ribosomal RNA
Rfam family: Bacterial small subunit ribosomal RNA
Source: RNAcentral
UACGAAGGGGGCUAGCGUUGCUCGGAAUCACUGGGCGUAAAGCGCACGUAGGCGGAUCUUUAAGUCAGGGGUGAAAUCCCAAGGCUCAACCUUGGAACUGCCUUUGAUACUGGGGAUCUCGAGUCCGGAAGAGGUUGGUGGAACUGCGAGUGUAGAGGUGAAAUUCGUAGAUAUUCGCAAGAACACCAGUGGCGAAGGCGGCCAACUGGUCCGGUACUGACGCUGAGGUGCGAAAGCUAGGGGAGCAAACAGG